This 221-nucleotide ribosomal RNA is filed under the name uncultured bacterium. Its description in RNAcentral is "partial 16S ribosomal RNA". It matches the Rfam family "Bacterial small subunit ribosomal RNA", at positions 524 to 749 of the family's 1533-position model. The record is from RNAcentral.
UACAGAGGUCCCAAGCGUUGUUCGGAUUCACUGGGCGUAAAGGGUGCGUAGGUGGCUUGGUAAGUUCGAUGUGAAAUCUCCGGGCUUAACCCGGAAAUGGCAUUGAAUACUAUUGAGCUGGAGGUUUGGAGGGGGGACUGGAAUUCUCGGUGUAGCAGUGAAAUGCGUAGAUAUCGGGAGGAACACCAGUGGCGAAGGCGGUUGCCUGGAGCUUUUGCUGA